Gorilla gorilla gorilla (western lowland gorilla) is the source of this 3181-nucleotide long non-coding RNA. RefSeq lists it as uncharacterized. The transcript has 3 exons. NCBI's taxonomy places the organism in Eukaryota, Metazoa, Chordata, Mammalia, Primates, Hominidae. The record is from RefSeq and is a predicted model, not a curated record.
GCUUCCAGAGGUGUUCAUGCAGAAGACUGGAUGCAGGACCCUUGGUGGCACCAGUGUGCAGAUGAGCAGAUAGUGACUGAUUGCCACUGGGGCUAUAACAAAAUAUAAUAAACUGGGUACCUUAGAAGCAACAGAAAUUGAUUUCUCAUCGUUCUAGAAGCUAAGAAGUUCACGAUCAAGGUAGCAGCAGAGUUGGUGCCUGCUCUGGAGGCUGGAAAUCCAACAACAGAGUGCCAGCAUGAUCAGGUUCUGGAGAGGACCCUCUUCCUGUUUGCAGACUGCUGACUUCUUAUUGUAUAUUCCAAUGGUAGAAAGAGAGCAAGAGAACUCUCUGGAGUCUUUUUUUAUAAGGGUGCUAACCCCAUUUAAGGAGGUUCACCUCAUAAUCUAAUUAUCUCUCAAAAGCCAUACCUUUCAACACCAUUGCAUUGAAGGUUAGGAUUUCAACAUGUGAAUUUGUAGUGGGGUGACAGGGAGAGGGACACACAAAUAUUUAGUCCAUAAUGCAUACUAACAAAAACUGAAGUGGGGUAAAAAGUCACUUAAGUGAAUCCUUGCAGUAUUAAAGGACACGUUAUAGUUCAUUUAUCCUUUUGGUCAGUAAAUAUUGAGCACACACUAUGAGCUAAAUUCUAGGUGCAUGUUAGAGCAUUGGUGGUACCACAAUAAAAUAGCCUUUUUCCCUAUCCUCAGGGAUUUUAUAAUUUUGUGAAAGAGUUAUGCAGAUAGGCAGUUAACCUGCAGGUGGUGAUUGCUCACAAAGAGAAAAGCAGGGGGCUGUAAAAUUAGAGAAGCUAAGCUCACUUACCCUGUAUGGAGUUGGAUACAGAAUGUUUGCUAGAGGAAGUGGUGCCAAGUAGAUUUAGAUAAAGAAGAAGGUGGUGAUGAGAGGACGGAAGUGAUCGAAGGAAUGAAAGGUAGUAGAAAGGAAAUAGCAUGCGAGAAGCUGUAGGAGAAAGGAGAAAGCGCUCUUCCUGGCAAAAGGGAUAGCACACACAUAGGUUAGAGGUAAGAGGGCACAGCAAGGCUGCAGAGGCCUUGGGAGCUCAGCAUGAUUCGAAUGCAGUUGUACAGGAGGACUGGCACACACUCUGCUUCUUGGAGGUUACAGCAACUGCUACUCUCUGAAGGUUGUGUUACUUAUCUAUCUACUCAUCUAACAACAUGCCAUAACACAGUGAGGGAAUUCCUCCAGACCUUUGAACAAAAAUGUUCUAACUUGGUUCAAAAUAAUUUAUACUCAACAUUCUUAGUAUCUUGCUUCAAAAAUAAAUGGAUGAAAAAUAGUGUUCUGGCUACAGUUCUGUGUAACAAUUCGCCCAACUGUAGUGGCUUAAAAUGACAAUUAUUUUAUUAUGUUCAUGUAAGUGUAGGUCAGGGGCUCAUAAAGGGCUAAGGGAGGAAGCUUGUCACACAUCUAUGGUGUGAGGCUACCUCCUAGAAAAGACAAGUAAUGGACCACUUGGCUUGUUUAAUGACUGUGUGGUAAACAGGGGCAUGUGAGAGUUUGCUUAAAGGCAGACUUCCUCCUCUGGUCACUUUGGUCCAGCCCAUUCAACUGUUCCUUGCCUGGCCUUCCAGUUUCUGAAUUCCUACUUAGCAUCUGAGAUGGCUUGACCAUCAUUCUGCACGAGAGUUUAUAAAUGAACUUUUGUGACUGCACCAGACUUCUAAUGCCACAAUGGCUCCGCCUGCAUACCCUUCUACUCUAUGUGGUUUCAUUCUUCUUCCCUUCCUGCUCAGAAUUAAGUCUGAAUUGAAUGCUCCAAUAGUCUCAUAGAUAUUCUCAUAGAUAUAGAUAUUCUCAUAGGUAUUCUUAUAUAUAUUGGUUCAUUCCUGAGGGUUCUUGAACCUCUCAGUUAUUUUUUCUUCUUUCACCCCUGCAUAAUUUGAGAAAGCUUAUCAAAGCUGGGAAUAGGAACCAUGUCUCACUGGUUUCUUUUAAAAUUUCUAUUUAAAAAUAUUUACUUAUUUUUUUGAACAGGUAAUAUAGUCACAUAGAUAAAAAUCCCAAGAUGAAAAUAUAAAUAAAUAGGUUCCCUUCCUCCAUACCAUGUGCAUCAUAAAUCCCCCCAAUUUGUCUAGUACAGGUUCUCAAAACAUUUACUGAAUUUUUAUAGUCAAGUUCCUCAAUACGUACACCUAGUACAAUGGUUGGAUUUACUAUAAAGCUGACGAAUCUUAAGCCUCAGGGCUCAUCACCUGCUGGGGCUCCUUCCAGGUCCUCUUCCAGAAUCAUCAUCAACUUGCUUCUAUGCCUUUGUAAAAUAUACAAUUGUAAUACAUUUAAACCACAUCAUUUCCAUCUGUUGCCCCUUUCCACUGCAACCCCUUGGCAUACUCUGCCUCCUAUAAAGGGGCAUUAGAGUAGCCUGUGGCAACUUUAGGAUAUAGAAAAGGGGAAAUUGAAAUGGGAGUACAUUUUAUUUGGGUUUAGUGAGAGUUUAUGAGCUUUGCAGUCUUUUUGUAAAUAGCUAAGUAAUUGUUAAGUGUAGCAAUGACUGUCAGUUCUAUUCCUAACUGCUCGCCAUGAAGUUUACCUAGUAUCAUCAUGUGAACCUGCAGGGCCAGAGUUAUUCUGCUAUAUAUAAAAGUGCCCUAUAGCAUCUACAAUUGGGAGUAUGUAAUGGAAAAGAAGAUAGUGUUUAUUAAUAUGAAUAUUGUUAUUUUUCUGAAUUUUGUGAUGUUUGUGGUAUCCAUCAGCACUUUUAUAUUUGUAAAUUUUUCCCAUUUCUUUUCUUCAUUUUCUAAACACUUUUCAUACAAUUUCUUUGUUACUUUGCAUUCCUUUUUUCUUAGUGUGGUGUCCAAAAUUGUAAGAAUCCUUUAUCCCACAAAAAAUUGAUCCUGUCUUUUACAGAAUUGCCCAGCAGCUGUCUUUUUCAUUUCCUUUGCUUGUGGUUUGCCCAUCUGUCAGCUGUGAAUGACCCAAACAACACCACACGCUAUUUCUAACUCAACAGUCCUGGAACUUUCUUGACCUUUGACAAAGCCACCAGAUCACCAUCACCAUCAUUAUUGUUUAUAGAAACAUGAAAAUUCAACCAUAAAAAGUCAUCUUGGGCUGAGCAUGGUGGCUCUAACAUGUAAUCCCAGCACUUUGGGAGCCUAAGGUGAGAAGAUCACUUCAGGCCAGGCAUUGAAGUUCAGCCUGGGUAACAUAGCCAGAUCUCAUCUCUAC